This 479-nucleotide ribosomal RNA is filed under the name Lytocarpia brevirostris. Its description in RNAcentral is "partial 16S ribosomal RNA". It matches the Rfam family "Bacterial large subunit ribosomal RNA", at positions 1915 to 2559 of the family's 2925-position model. Lineage: Eukaryota; Metazoa; Cnidaria; Hydrozoa; Leptothecata; Aglaopheniidae. The record is from RNAcentral.
AAACCAAAUGGCUGCAGUAACUAUAACUGUAUGAAUGUAGCAUAAUAAUUCGCCACUUAAUUGGUGGAUAGUAUGAAUGGUUAAACGAAAAUUCCUCUGUCUUAUAAAAUAAAAAAGAAAUUUAAAUUGUAGUCAAGAGCUACAUAAAAUUGUAAGACGAAAAGACCCUAUAAAGCUUAACUAUAAUCUUUCUCAUCUUUUAAAAUAAAAAUUUAAAAGAAAGAUUGGUAGUUUCAUUGGGGCGAUGGUCUCUAAAAAAAAACAGAGAUAAUCUACAUUAAUAAAAUAAUUUAUUAUUUAAUUAAUCAAUUUAAUAAUUACAAAGUAAGAUAUAAUGACCCAUUAUAAUCUCAAAAAAGAAAUAAUGAUCUUUAAAUAAAAGCUACUUUAGGGAUAACAGGAUUAUCUUUUCUAAGAGCCCUAAUCAAAGAAAAGGUUUAUCACCUCGAUGUUGAAUUAAGAUAACCUAAUGGUGCAGC